Molecule: ribosomal RNA, 497 nt
Filed under: uncultured bacterium
Lineage: Bacteria
Description: partial 16S ribosomal RNA
Rfam family: Bacterial small subunit ribosomal RNA
Source: RNAcentral
GAUGAACGCUGGCGGCGUGCCUAAUACAUGCAAGUCGAGCGAACGGACGAGAAGCUUGCUUCUCUGAUGUUAGCGGCGGACGGGUGAGUAACACGUGGAUAACCUACCUAUAAGACUGGGAUAACUUCGGGAAACCGGAGCUAAUACCGGAUAAUAUUUUGAACCGCAUGGUUCAAAAGUGAAAGACGGUCUUGCUGUCACUUAUAGAUGGAUCCGCUCUGCAUUAGCUAGUUGGUAAGGUAACGGCUUACCAAGGCAACGAUGCAUAGCCGAACUGAGAGGGUGAUCGGCCACACUGGAACUGAGACACGGUCCAGACUCCUACGGGAGGCAGCAGUAGGGAAUCUUCCGCAAUGGGCGAAAGCCUGACGGAGCAACGCCGCGUGAGUGAUGAAGGUCUUCGGAUCGUAAAACUCUGUUAUUAGGGAAGAACAUAUGUGUAAGUAACUGUGCACAUAUUGACGGUACCUAAUCAGAAAGCCACGGCUAACUACGUG